This 458-nucleotide ribosomal RNA is filed under the name uncultured bacterium. RNAcentral's name for it is "partial 16S ribosomal RNA". It matches the Rfam family "Bacterial small subunit ribosomal RNA", at positions 338 to 795 of the family's 1533-position model. The record is from RNAcentral.
CCUACGGGUGACAGCAGUGAGGAAUAUUGGUCAAUGGCCGGAAGGCUGAACCAGCCAUGCCGCGUGAAAGUCAGUGCCCUAUGGGCGUUAAACUUCUUUUGUGCGGGAGCAAUAAUGGUCACGUGUGGCCAGACGAGAGUACCGUACGAAUAAGCAUCGGCUAACUCCGUGCCAGCAGCCGCGGUAAUACGGGGGAGCCAGCCGUUUUCGGGAUUUUUGGGUUUUAAAGGGUGCGUAGGCGGACUGUUAAGUCAGCGGUAAAAGCCCGGGGCUCAACCCCGGCGAGCCGUUGAAACUGGCUGUCUUGAGAUGUCGAGAGGUAUGCGGAAUGCGCAGUGUAGCGGUGAAAUGCUUAGAUAUUGCGCAGAACUCCGAUUGCGAAGGCAGCAUACCGGCGGCGAUCUGACGCUGAGGCACGAAAGCGUGGGUAUCGAACAGGAUUAGAUACCCCAGUAGUC